RNAcentral lists this ribosomal RNA (493 nucleotides) under uncultured bacterium. RNAcentral's name for it is "partial 16S ribosomal RNA". It matches the Rfam family "Bacterial small subunit ribosomal RNA", at positions 29 to 507 of the family's 1533-position model. The record is from RNAcentral.
ACGAACGCUGGCGGCGCGCUUAACACAUGCAAGUCGAACGGAAAGGCCUGCUUUCCCUUGUGGAUUGCGGGUACUCGAGUGGCGAACGGGUGAGUAGCACGUGAGUGAUCUGCCCCCAACUUGGGUAUAAGCCUGGGAAACUGGGUCUAAUUCCCGAUAGGACUGCAGGGUGGUGCCUGUGGUGGAAAACGAUUUUCUAGUGGUUGGGGAUGAGCUCGCGGCCUAUCAGCUUGUUGGUGGGGUAAUGGCCUACCAAGGCGGCGACGGGUAGCCGGCCUGAGAGGGUGGACGGCCACAUUGGGACUGAGAUACGGCCCAGACUCCUACGGGAGGCAGCAGUGGGGAAUAUUGCACAAUGGGCGGAAGCCUGAUGCAGCGACGCCGAGUGGGGGAUGACGGCCUUCGGGUUGUAAACUCCUUUCGACCGCGAGGAAGCCACCUGGUUGGAAGGGUGGUGACGGUAGUGGUAGAAGAAGCACCGGCUAACUACGUG